Molecule: ribosomal RNA, 253 nt
Filed under: uncultured bacterium
Lineage: Bacteria
Description: partial 16S ribosomal RNA
Rfam family: Bacterial small subunit ribosomal RNA
Source: RNAcentral
UACGUAGGUGGCAAGCGUUGUUCGGAAUUACUGGGCGUAAAGCGUGUGUAGGCGGUCCGCUAAGUCGGGUGUGAAAGCCCUGGGCUCAACCCAGGAAGUGCACUCGAAACUGGCGGGCUAGAGUACUGGAGAGGUUGGUGGAAUUCUCGGUGUAGAGGUGAAAUUCGUAGAUAUCGAGAGGAACACCAGUGGCGAAGGCGGCCAACUGGACAGAUACUGACGCUGAGACACGAAAGCGUGGGGAGCAAACAGG